GACAGAGGGUGCAACCGUUGCUCGGAAUCACUGGGCGUAAAGGGCGUGUAGGCGGGAAGGCAAGUCGGGCGUGAAAUCCCUGGGCUCAACCCAGGAACUGCAUUCGAAACUUCUUUUCUUGAGUGCCGGAGAGGAAAGCGGAAUUCCUGGUGUAGAGGUGAAAUUCGUAGAUAUCAGGAGGAACACCAGUGGCGAAGGCGGCUUUCUGGACGGUAACUGACGCUGAGACGCGAAAGCGUGGGGAGCAAACAGG
Molecule: ribosomal RNA, 253 nt
Filed under: uncultured bacterium
Lineage: Bacteria
Description: partial 16S ribosomal RNA
Rfam family: Bacterial small subunit ribosomal RNA
Source: RNAcentral